UAGUUGGUGAGGUAACGGCUCACCCGACGAUGCGUAGCCGACUGAGAGGGUGAUCGGCCACACUGGGGAGCAACGCCGCGUGAGUGAUGAAGGUUUUCGGAUCGUAAAGCUCUGUUGUUAGGGAAGAACAAGGUUCAAAUAGGGCGGCACCUUGACGGUACCUACCAGAAAGCCACGGCUAACUACGUGCCAGCAGCCGCGGUAAUACGUAGGUGGCAAGCGUUGUCCGGAAUUAUUGGGCGUAAAGGGCUCGCAGGCGGUUUCUUAAGUCUGAUGUGAAAGCCCCCGGCUCAACCGGGGAGGGUCAUUGGAAACUGGGGAACUUGAGUGCAGAAGAGGAGAGUGGAAUUCCACGUGUAGCGGUGAAAUGCGUAGAGAUGUGGAGGAACACCAGUGGCGAAGGCGACUCUCUGGUCUGUAACUGACGCUGAGGAGCGAAAGCGUGGGGAGCGAACAGGAUUAGAUACCCUGGUAGUCCACGCCGUAAACGAUGAGUGCUAAGUGUUAGGGGGUUUCCGCCCCUUAGUGCUGCAGCUAACGCAUUAAGCACUCCGCCUGGGGAGUACGGUCGCAAGACUGAAACUCAAAGGAAUUGACGGGGGCCCGCACAAGCGGUGGAGCAUGUGGUUUAAUUCGAAGCAACGCGAAGAACCUUACCAGGUCUUGACAUCCUCUGACAAUCCUAGAGAUAGGACGUCCCCUUCGGGGGCAGAGUGACAGGUGGUGCAUGGUUGUCGUCAGCUCGUGUCGUGAGAUGUUAAGUCCCGCAACGAGCGCAACCCUUGAUCUUAGUUGCCAGCAUUCAGUUGGGCACUCUAAGGUGACUGCCGGUGACAAACCGGAGGAAGGUGGGGAUGACGUCAAAUCAUCAUGCCCCUUAUGACCUGGGCUACACACGUGCUACAAUGGACAGAACAAAGGGCAGCGAAACCGCGAGGUUAAGCCAAUCCCACAAAUCUGUUCUCAGUUCGGAUCGCAGUCUGCAACUCGACUGCGUGAAGCUGGAAUCGCUAGUAAUCGCGGAUCAKCAUGCCGCGGUGAAUACGUUCCCGGGCCUUGUACACACCCGCCCGUCA
RNAcentral lists this ribosomal RNA (1076 nucleotides) under Bacillus velezensis. RNAcentral describes it as "bacterial SSU rRNA". The record is from RNAcentral. Lineage: Bacteria; Bacillati; Bacillota; Bacilli; Caryophanales; Bacillaceae.